This is a long non-coding RNA of Cydia splendana, 920 nucleotides long. RefSeq lists it as uncharacterized. Lineage: Eukaryota; Metazoa; Arthropoda; Insecta; Lepidoptera; Tortricidae. The record is from RefSeq and is a predicted model, not a curated record. The transcript has 3 exons.
AAUAAAAUUAGUAUUUUAUACAAUCGUGAUAUAAUGGAGAGUUUUUCAUGUCGCUAUAUACAGUGAAACCUGGUUAAGUGGGACCUGGAUAAGUGAGAAACCUCUAUAGCUGGGACUCAUGGUGCGGUCCCGACACUUUAGCACUGAAUUACCUCUGUUAGUGAGAUAAAACGAACCUCUAUAACUGGGAUUAGUUGUUGUGAUUGUAUAGUCACAUUUACCUCUAUAAUUGAGACAGAGAGUGUAUUUUACCUCUUUUACUGAGACUAUAUUUAUAAGAUUACAUUUCCCUAAUUGUUAUUUAGAAUUUUAUAAAAAUGGACCUCUGUAUCUGAGAUAACGUCAAUCUAUGACCUCUUUAACUUGGAUUUUAGUGAUCAAUUUCCGUAUUCUUACUAACUCUUAGUCUAUCCACAUAUUCCGCAUUUGCUUAAUUGUGUCUAAACGACUUCAAGUUUUAUUUAGUUACUUUUUUUAUGUAAGUAGUUAAAACUAUCGAAACGAAAGCUGAAACCUUGAUAAGUAACACUAACAAACAAAUUUUCAUUUAUUAAAUUUCUAAGACGCAAUGAAAUCCGUAUCAAAUUUAAUGUAAUUUUAAAAUAUCUAUCCUUUGGAGAAUCAUUCAAAAUAAAUUCAAAGAAAUAUUUACACAGACUUAAAAAAUAUUUAGGGACAAGGAUUAUUGUACCUUAUUUAUUUUUAAAGAUAAUUACAAAAUACCUUAUUUACCACCUCUAUAACUGAAAUAUACUCUAUUCUAACCUCUAUUAAUGGAACCCUCUGUAAAUGAGACAGAAAUUUAUUUGUACCUGGCUAACUGAGAGCCUGGGUAAGUGGAAUACCUCUUUAAGUGAGACAAAUCUGCUCGUCCCUUGAGGUCUCACUUAUCCAGGUUUCACUGUAUAUAUAUAUAAUUA